Molecule: transfer RNA, 71 nt
Filed under: Peribacillus simplex
Lineage: Bacteria; Bacillati; Bacillota; Bacilli; Caryophanales; Bacillaceae
Also listed under: 1 other name
Description: tRNA-Ala
Rfam family: tRNA
About the family: Transfer RNA (tRNA) molecules are approximately 80 nucleotides in length. Their secondary structure includes four short double-helical elements and three loops (D, anti-codon, and T loops).
Source: RNAcentral
GGGAUUGUAGCUCAGGGGAGAGCAUUUGCCUGGCAGGCAAAGGGUCGUGGGUUCAAUUCCCAUCAACUCUA